GGAACCAUUUCCUAAACCAGAUAUGAAGUAAGAAGUUGGGCCGGAUCCAUUACAAGCUUCGGCUUGCAAAGCCAGACUUUGUGUGCUCUGAGAAGUUCUUUUUUUGGUUAACUUGGAAUUAAGCUCUUCCAUUUUAGAUGUAAAAUCAUCCAUCCGAUCAUUCAAGGUAGAUAUUUGUUCCGAUAAAUGUGUAACAGCUCCCUGAUUUGCUAAUGUUGC
Molecule: unclassified non-coding RNA, 219 nt
Filed under: Hevea brasiliensis (rubber tree)
Lineage: Eukaryota; Viridiplantae; Streptophyta; Magnoliopsida; Malpighiales; Euphorbiaceae
Source: RNAcentral